UAUUGCACAAUGGGCGCAAGCCUGAUGCAGCGACGCCGCGUGUGGGAUGACGGCCUUCGGGUUGAAAACCUCUUUCAGCAGGGAAUAAGCGAAAGUUACGGUACCUGCAGAAUAAGCACCGGCUAACUACGUGCCAGCAGCCGCGGUAAUACGUAGGGUGCAAGCGGUGUCCGGAAAUCAUGGGCGUAAAGAGCUGGUAGGCGGUUUGUCGCCUCUGCUGUGAAAUCCCGAGGCUCAACCCCGGGCCUACAGUGGGUACGGGCAGACUAGAGUGUGGUAGGGGAGACUGGAAUUCCUGGUGUAGCGGUGGAAUGCGCAGAUAUCAGGAGGAACACCGAUGGCGAAGGCAGGUCUCUGGGCCACUACUGACGCUGAGGAGCGAAAGCAUGGGGAGCGAACAGG
RNAcentral lists this ribosomal RNA (402 nucleotides) under uncultured bacterium. Its description in RNAcentral is "partial 16S ribosomal RNA". It matches the Rfam family "Bacterial small subunit ribosomal RNA", at positions 362 to 776 of the family's 1533-position model. The record is from RNAcentral.